GUAGGUGGCAAGCGUUGUCCGGAAUUAUUGGGCGUAAAGCGCGCGCAGGCGGUCCUUUAAGUCUGAUGUGAAAGCCCACGGCUCAACCGUGGAGGGUCAUUGGAAACUGGGGGACUUGAGUACAGAAGAGGAAAGCGGAAUUCCAAGUGUAGCGGUGAAAUGCGUAGAGAUUUGGAGGAACACCAGUGGCGAAGGCGGCUUUCUGGUCUGUAACUGACGCUGAGGCGCGAAAGCGUGGGGAGCAAACAGGAUUAGAUACCCUGGUAGUCCACGCCGUAAACGAUGAGUGCUAAGUGUUAGGGGGUUUCCCGCCCCCUUAGUGCUGCAGCUAACGCAUUAAGCACUCCGCCUGGGGGAGUACGGCCGCAAGGCCG
This 374-nucleotide ribosomal RNA is filed under the name uncultured organism. Its description in RNAcentral is "partial 16S ribosomal RNA". It matches the Rfam family "Bacterial small subunit ribosomal RNA", at positions 527 to 896 of the family's 1533-position model. The record is from RNAcentral.